AGCGAACGUUAGCGGCAGGCUUAACACAUGCAAGUCGAGCGAGAAAGGGGCUUCGGCCCUGAGUAAAGCGGCGGACGGGUGCGUAACACGUGGAUAAUCUGCCCUUCAGUGGGGAAUAACGUUCCGAAAGGAACGCUAAUGCCGCAUGUCACAGCAAUGUCUCUGGACAAAGUUGGAAAAGGGGACGCCCGCAAGGGGUUCUCGCUGGAGGAUGAGUCCGCGGCCCAUCAGCUUGUUGGCGGGGUAAUGGCCCACCAAGGCGAAGACGGGUAGCUGGUCUGAGAGGAUGACCAGCCACACUGGGACUGAGACACGGCCCAGACUCCUACGGGAGGCAGCAGUGGGGAAUAUUGGACAAUGGGGGCAACCCUGAUCCAGCCAUGCCGCGUGAGUGAAGAAGGCCCUCGGGUUGUAAAGCUCUUUUGUCCGGAAAGAAAAGCAUCUGGUUAAUACCCGGGUGUUCUGACGGUACCGGAAGAAUAAGCACCGGCUAACUUCGUGCCAGCAGCCG
RNAcentral lists this ribosomal RNA (511 nucleotides) under uncultured bacterium. RNAcentral's name for it is "bacterial SSU rRNA". It matches the Rfam family "Bacterial small subunit ribosomal RNA", at positions 29 to 517 of the family's 1533-position model. The record is from RNAcentral.